UAGUUCAUCCUUUCAUCCUCCCAAACUCCCUUUCAGCUAAUGUGUACUGCAGUUAAACUACUUUAUCUGUGGUCGUUAUCUAGAACACACGCGUUUGUCUUAAUUCUGAAUCUGUCCCAAAUAUGUAAAUGAGAGUUCCCCCCCCCCAAACGCAAAAUGUAUAUAUCUAUACAUACGGACUUGGCAGUCCCAUACACCACUGAAGGGUUAAGAUUGUACAAAGGAAGAGUUCUUGCGCCAUCUACUGGCCAUCUCCGAGCCACCCGUUUCUCCUUCACUCUACCAGGGACCCUGUUUUCUCUUAUCCCAUGUCGUGCAGGAGCUGCGUCCCUGAGCCCAGCGUGUUUUGCUCCUGUAUGCCAGAUUCCUAAUAUAUAUAUGUAUAUAUUUGGUACAGUCCUGGCCCAAAUCUUUCGACGAGAAUGUUCCUUAGACCAGGCGCCGGAUUGAUGAUCUGACCUUUCGGGAAUCUGGUCCCAUCUCAGGAGUGGGGAGGGCUGCAGUGCUGUUUUGGAAUAGGUAAUUGCUGCUGCCCGUGGUCCUUCUCGCAUGCCGGAGUCUAUCAGGGGAUGAGCGUCUUUGUACAGGAUUUAGUCAAAAAACUACCCAAUUUGAGUUUUCAGCUCCUUGUCUUGCCCACAAAUCAUGGAUCCUGUCCCGUAAACCACACAAUCACCCUGGCCAGCUUUUGUUCCUGGGCUCCAAUUGGAGCUGCGGGCUCAAUGGACCAAGGUGGUUGCCUCUGGCUGGAGUUCUGCUCUGGGAAGUGGGCACUGUGAGAGCAACCUUAGGCGUGAGUGGCGAGUAGGUUCAAUCUACCAGAAGGAUUCUGAGCUCUCUGGGAUAAAUUUACUGUCUUAAAUCUCAUCGUUAAGACCCUUCAAGGAUAUUCCUCCAUCUGUGACUGUGAAUUUUGCUGUUAAGACUUGCAUUGCUACCUUCUUGAGACCACUGUCCUUGGACAUCUCUAUGGAAAAACUGAAGUACCUGGGAGUUUUUGUCCUGAAGAUGGGCCAUUGCCAAUGCUGGAAGCCCAGUCCCUUUGUCUCCAGAUGAACAAACUUUGAUGAGUAAUUCAUAUUACAGUGUUUCUACAGAGAUUAUGCUGGAUCUUAGAUUUUGCCUCAAAUUAUACCUUUUUUUAGCUUUUUUCCUUACCUUACUAUGUAUAGUAUGCUGAACUACAUUGGAACCUGGAGCAAAAGGAAAAUUGUGUAACCAUACAUACAUUUGUCAAAUUAUUCUCCUGUAUUUUAAACCAAGUAGAAAAAGCUAAUGUAAACAUUAUAAUAAACAACUGCAACAUAAAA
This is a non-coding RNA of Ictidomys tridecemlineatus (thirteen-lined ground squirrel), 1310 nucleotides long. The record is from RefSeq and is a predicted model, not a curated record. Lineage: Eukaryota; Metazoa; Chordata; Mammalia; Rodentia; Sciuridae.